This 957-nucleotide long non-coding RNA is filed under the name Phoenix dactylifera (date palm). Its description in RNAcentral is "long non-coding RNA (PDAC_LNC016781)". The record is from RNAcentral. Lineage: Eukaryota; Viridiplantae; Streptophyta; Magnoliopsida; Arecales; Arecaceae.
CACCCCCUCACCGCCAAAAUUGAUCGUCACUUGAGGUGCAUCGGCUCUAGUCGGCUCUCAGAUUAGGGUUUUUUGGAUAAUCUAUUCUCUCUUGCCUCUUGGUGCUUUACCUUGUUCUAUUCUCUCUUGAGUCUUGGUGCUUCACCGGCCCCGAUCCUCUUCUCCUCCUUCCUCUGUGGCGCUGACCGACCUGCCGAGAAAGAGGUAAUUACUUAUCCUCUUCUCCUCCUUCCUCUGUGGACUGUGGUGCCUAAAAUAUUAUUUUUUUACUAAUCUAUUGCUUGCUCCCCUUCUCGAAAACAAAAGGGGGAGGCUUUAAAAGUUAGUAGAGCUCAUUUCAUCUGCCAAAUAUCACAAAUAAGAGGAUCAUGUGCUUUUGAGGUGGUUGUGCUGCCAUAAAUCCACAAGUUGUGUUUAGUGCAUUUUAGACAUUUACUGUUAUUUCUACAAUUCUACUAAGUUUGUGGUUUUAAUUAGGUUUGUGGUUUUGAAUAGGUAAUUAAAAGUGUGAUGUGUAAUGCCUGAUGCUAUUGGCUUGCUUUUCUUGUUGUUUGCCUCAGACACACUGAACUCAAUCUUAAUUUGUUGAUCAGUGAUCACUGAUCCAUAGUCUCGCUGAUUCCUUUCCUCUUUAUUUUCUCCUCUCUUUAUCUGAUUUGAAGGUUUCAGAAAGUCCUUGUUAUCUUUCCAACCUUAACAACCUGUAAGCCUAGGAACUAAAUAAUAUAUCUUCCAUUCCAGAAGCUGCUCAUAUCUCAUCUGUUUAUAAGACUGUAACAAACAGGGGAUGAUUCAUUGAGAUAGUAAUGACAUGACUAUAUCUCCAACUUUGUCAAUAACAAGAGUUUUAAAUUUUCGUACAUAUCUGAUGCUAUAGGUUAAAUUUGUGAUAUUUAUUUUGUUAUUUGGGCAGAUUAUUUUUACUAAUGUCUCAUUCUAAAGUUGGUGAAAAUGAGA